Long non-coding RNA from Hemiscyllium ocellatum (epaulette shark), 665 nucleotides. RefSeq lists it as uncharacterized. Lineage: Eukaryota; Metazoa; Chordata; Chondrichthyes; Orectolobiformes; Hemiscylliidae. The transcript is spliced from 3 exons. The record is from RefSeq and is a predicted model, not a curated record.
GAAGACUCACAUGUGUGGAAGAUCUGCCCAGCAAGUAUUGAUGGUGCUACGUACCAGGAGAGAUCAUUUCAGAACAGUGUCAGCAGCACAAGGAAUUAAAAAUACUACAAGAUUGUCCAGGUGCCCAAGGAUUUGAAGAUACUGAGGAACAGGGUUUCUGAUACUCAGAGGUUACAACCACACCAAACAAAGGUUUUGACUCCCUGAUUUCACAGACCACAACAUAAAUUCUGGUUUGCUGACAUCACGGUUCGCAACAACUUGUUCGGCCGGUCAGCAAAAGGCGCACAAGGGCCACUCCAGAAAACCCUGCCCUGGCACAGCCUUUUGAUAUAGAUGCCCUCGUUGUUGCUCAGCAGCAGCACCCCACGCUCAAGCGAAUCUCAUUCCUCGAAAAACAUCUGACAACAUCUAAACUGAGCUCAGGUCCCUUGAUACAGACCGGCCUCAAAGUCAAUGAAGCAAAUUGGUAUGCAUAAAGAUGUCUAUAUCCGCCUACAGCUUGGAAACUGGACUAACUUGCUACAAACCUCCAGAGUGUCCCCAAACCUAACCUGCAUGUUUUACCCUUGGCUACAUUGCGAUUGUGUAUUUUCAAAGUAGAACCGCUUCAUGAAAAUUAAUAAAUGCAGCAUCAUAAACUGUGUCGUACUUUGAAGAUCGAA